GUGCUCGUUUUGGCAGCACAUAUACUAAGACUGGAACGAUACAGAGAAGAUUAGCAUAGCUCCUGCACAAGCAUGAUGUGUAAAUUUGUGAAGCAUUCCAUAUUUAU
This is a small nuclear RNA of Mandrillus leucophaeus (drill), 107 nucleotides long. The record is from Ensembl. NCBI's taxonomy places the organism in Eukaryota, Metazoa, Chordata, Mammalia, Primates, Cercopithecidae.